UACGGGGGGGGCAAGCGUUAUUCGGAAUUAUUGGGCGUAAAGGGCGCGUAGGCGGCCAUGCGUGUCUUCCGUGAAAUCCCUCGGCUUAACUGAGGACGUGCGGAAGAAACUGCAAGGCUCGAGUCCGGGAGAGGGGGGUGGAAUUCCCAGUGUAGCGGUGAAAUGCGUAGAUAUUGGGAGGAACACCGGUGGCGAAGGCGGCCCCCUGGACCGGUACUGACGCUGAGGCGCGAAAGCGUGGGGAGCAAACGGG
RNAcentral lists this ribosomal RNA (253 nucleotides) under uncultured bacterium. RNAcentral describes it as "partial 16S ribosomal RNA". It matches the Rfam family "Bacterial small subunit ribosomal RNA", at positions 524 to 776 of the family's 1533-position model. The record is from RNAcentral.